CCUACGGGUGGCAGCAGUGAGGAAUAUUGGUCAAUGGGCGGGAGCCUGAACCAGCCAAGCCGCGUGAGGGAAGAAGGUACAGCGUAUCGUAAACCUCUUUUGUCAGGGAACAAAGGCGGGGACUAGUCCCCGGAUGAGGGUACCUGAAGAAAAAGCAUUGGCUAACUCCGUGCUAGCAGCCGCGGUAAUACGGAGGAUGCGAGCGGUAUCCGGAUGUAUUGGGUUUAAAGGGUGCGCAGGCGGCCUGUUAAGUCAGCGGUAAAAGCCCGGGGCUCAACCCCGGCGAGCCGUUGAUACUGGCAGGCUGGAGUUGGAGAGAGGGAAGCGGAAUGCGCGGUGUAGCGGUGAAAUGCUUAGAUAUCGCGCAGAACCCCGAUUGCGAAGGCAGCGUACCGGCUCCACACUGACGCUGAGGCACGAAAGCGUGGGUAUCGAACAGGAUUAGAUACCCUAGUAGUC
RNAcentral lists this ribosomal RNA (459 nucleotides) under uncultured bacterium. Its description in RNAcentral is "partial 16S ribosomal RNA". It matches the Rfam family "Bacterial small subunit ribosomal RNA", at positions 338 to 795 of the family's 1533-position model. The record is from RNAcentral.